GAUGAACGCUGGCGGCGUGCCUAAUACAUGCAAGUCGAGCGAACAGACGAGGAGCUUGCUCCUCUGACGUUAGCGGCGGACGGGUGAGUAACACGUGUAUAACCUACCUAUAAGACUGGGAUAACUUCGGGAAACCGGAGCUAAUACCGGAUAAUAUAUUGAACCGCAUGGGGCAAUAGUGAAAGACGGUUUUGCUGUCACUUAUAGAGGGAUCUGCGCCGCAUUAGGUAGUUGGUAAGGUAACGGCUUACCAAGGGAACGAUGCGUAGGCGACCUGAGAGGGUGAUCGGCCACCCUGGAACUGGGACACGGUCCAGGCUCCUACGGGAGGCCGCAGUAGGGAAUCUUCCGCAAUGGGCGAAAACCUGACGGAGCAACGCCGCGUGAGUGAUGACGGUCUUCGGAUCGUAAAAAUCUGUUAUGAGGGAAGAACAAAUGUGUAAGUAACUGUGCACGUCUUGACGGUACCUAAUCAGAAAGCCACGGCUAACUACGUG
This 497-nucleotide ribosomal RNA is filed under the name uncultured bacterium. RNAcentral's name for it is "partial 16S ribosomal RNA". It matches the Rfam family "Bacterial small subunit ribosomal RNA", at positions 28 to 507 of the family's 1533-position model. The record is from RNAcentral.